AAUGAACGUUGGCGGCGUGGAUUAGGCAUGCAAGUCGAGCGAGAACCCCGCAAGGGGGGACAGCGGCGAAAGGGACAGUAAUGUGUAGAUUAUCUGCCCUCAGGUCCGGGAUAGCUGCGGGAAACUGCAGGUAAUACCGGAUAACAUCUCCGGAUCAAAGGUGUGAUUCCGCCUGAGGAUGAGUCUGCAUCCUAUUAGCUAGUUGGUGGGGUAAUGGCCUACCAAGGCAUUGAUGGGUAGCAGGUGUGAGAGCACGACCUGCGUCAUUGGGACUGAGACACUGCCCAGACACCUACGGGUGGCUGCAGUCGAGAAUCUUCGGCAAUGGGCGCAAGCCUGACCGAGCGACGCCGCGUGUGGGAUGAAGGCCUUCGGGUUGUAAACCACUGUCAGAGGGGAUGAAAUGCGGGUGGGUUCUCCCAUCUGUUUGACAUAGCCUCAGAGGAAGGACGGGCUAAGUUCGUG
Molecule: ribosomal RNA, 465 nt
Filed under: uncultured bacterium
Lineage: Bacteria
Description: partial 16S ribosomal RNA
Rfam family: Bacterial small subunit ribosomal RNA
Source: RNAcentral